GAGUGCUGGGUGAAAUAUUCCGUUUGUUUGAGGUGCUUUUUAGUAAUUUCGGUGUUGUCUUUGGAGACCUGCUUAUUACUCGCACUGAUGCUCAUCUCGUUAUCUCGGUGGUCCGGCUCGUCAGCUGUGACGCAAUAAAAAUACCCCGAAAUUAAAACUAACAGAGAAUUAGUUUCAAAUUAGUCUUUUAUAUUUUGCUACAUUGAUACUGAAAGUAUCUAGCGAGAGUGUCUGUCUGGGUGAACACCUUUUGGGGCUGUAACCAAUGAGCUUCUUGUCGCACUGGUUUACCUGCAUUUUUGAUUGUUGAACAAUAAUCACAACAUGAAGUAGUGUCUUGCACCUUGAAA
Long non-coding RNA from Syngnathus acus (greater pipefish), 350 nucleotides. RefSeq lists it as uncharacterized. Lineage: Eukaryota; Metazoa; Chordata; Actinopteri; Syngnathiformes; Syngnathidae. The record is from RefSeq and is a predicted model, not a curated record. The transcript has 3 exons.